Oncorhynchus tshawytscha (Chinook salmon) is the source of this 1048-nucleotide long non-coding RNA. The record is from Ensembl. Lineage: Eukaryota; Metazoa; Chordata; Actinopteri; Salmoniformes; Salmonidae.
ACAUUACAUUACUACAUACACACAGCUACAUUACAUUACUACAUACACACAGCUACAUUACACACAGCUACAUUACACACAGCUACAUUACACACAGCUACAUUAUAUUACUACAUACACACAGCUACAUUACAUUACUACAUACACACAGCUACAUUACAUUACUACAUACACACAGCUACAUUACUACAUACACACAGCUACAUUACUACAUACACACAGCUACAUUACUACAUACACACAGCUACAUUAUAUUACUACAUACACACAGCUACAUUAUAUUACUACAUACACACAGCUACAUUAUAUUACUACAUACACACAGCUACAUUACUACAUACACACAGCUACAUUACUACAUACACACAGCUACAUUACUACAUACACACUGCUACAUUACUACAUACACACAGCUAUGUUACAUUACUACAUACACACAGCUACAUUAUAUUACUACAUACACACAGCUACAUUACUACAUACACACAGCUACAUUACUACAUACACACAGCUACAUUACUACAUACACCCAGCUACAUUACUACAUACACACCGCUACAUUACUACAUACACACAGCUACAUUACAUUACUACAUACACACAGCUACAUUAUAUUACUACAUACACACAGCUACAUUACAUUACUACAUACACACAGUUACAUUACAUUACCACAAACACACAGUUACAUUACUACAUACACACAGCUACAUUACAUUACUACAUACACACAGCUACAUUACAUUACUACAUACACACAGCUACAUUACAUUACUACAUACACACAGCUACAUUACUACAUACACACAGCUACAUUACUACAUACACACAGCUACAUUACUACAUACACACAGCUACAUUACAUUACUACAUACACACAGAUACAGUACCUAUCAAAAAUUUGGACACCUACUCAUUCUGGGGUUUUUCUUUAUUUUUACUAUUUUCUACAUUUUAGAUUAAUAGUGAAGAUGUCAAAACUAUGAAAUAACACAUACGGAAACAUAAAGGUGUUAAACAAAUCAAUAUACAUUUUUUUAUUUGAGAU